GCCUAACGGCUGAACUGGCAACUUGGAGAAGUGGCAAGUCUUCCAGUAUGGGGAGCAAAACAGCUAUGGGUCAAGUCCGAGAUCUUUAGGAGAAGUCUUAUUGUGAGGGCGAGUUAUAUAACACCAUAGGACUGGCCGUCCCAUAUGAAAAGAUUAUAUUAGAAUUGAAUGAAGCUUUGUUUAUAUAUUGAUAAUGACAGUAUAUAUAUCGUGUCUUGACUAAUUGCGUGCCAGCAGUCGCGGUAAUACGUAAGAGACUAGUGUUAUUCAUCUUAAUUAGGUUUAAAGGGUACCCAGACGGUCAAUAUAGCUUAUAAAAUGUUAGUACUUGACUAGAGUUUUAUGUAAGAGGGCAGUACUUGAGGAGGAGAGAUGAAAUUUCGUGAUACCAAAGGGACUCUGUAAAGGCGAAGGCAGCCCUCUAUGUAAAAACUGACGUUGAAGGACGAAGGCACAGAGAACAAACAGGAUUAGAUACCCAAGUAGUCUUUGCAGUAAAUGAUGAAUGCCAUAGGUUAGAUUAAUAGUUAAUGUUUAUAGGCUAAUUAUUGGCUUAGCUUAGCAAACUAAUGCUAUAGACUAGACAUUAAAAAUUAUUUGGUCUAUAAAUGAAAGUGUAAGCAUUUCACCUCAAGAGUAAUGUGGCAACGCAGGAACUGAAAUCACUAGACCGUUUCUGACACCAGUAGUGAAGUAU
RNAcentral lists this ribosomal RNA (697 nucleotides) under Fusarium redolens. RNAcentral describes it as "SSU rRNA". It matches the Rfam family "Bacterial small subunit ribosomal RNA", at positions 291 to 940 of the family's 1533-position model. The record is from RNAcentral. Lineage: Eukaryota; Fungi; Ascomycota; Sordariomycetes; Hypocreales; Nectriaceae.